This is a non-coding RNA of Dactylonectria macrodidyma, 103 nucleotides long. The record is from the annotation of a GenBank genome assembly. NCBI's taxonomy places the organism in Eukaryota, Fungi, Ascomycota, Sordariomycetes, Hypocreales, Nectriaceae.
GGGCUUGUGGUCUAGUGGCAUGAUUUUCGCUUCGCAAGUUGCUCAGCUCAGCUAAGCACACGAUGUGAGUGAAAGGUCCGGGGUUCGAUCCCCCGUAAGUCCA